AUCAAUCUGCAGCUAAAGAAAAAGUAGUAUCAAUCUGACAUGUGGACGGAGGCUGCGAAGAGCAGAGCCCACCAGUCAGCCUACCGGUCACAGGAGCAUCUCCCGCCGCCGGCCACGCAGCUCCGCCGGAUCCGGCCUACCUCCGCCCUAAAAGCGCCGCCGCCGUCGUCACGUGCAGCUCCACCACGGCCUGCGACAGCGCUGCGGCCAGACCAACAAAACGUGCGUGUGCUCCCCAAGCCUUUGCCAGGUCCGAGCA
RNAcentral lists this ribosomal RNA (259 nucleotides) under Triticum aestivum (bread wheat). Its description in RNAcentral is "partial small subunit ribosomal RNA". Lineage: Eukaryota; Viridiplantae; Streptophyta; Magnoliopsida; Poales; Poaceae. The record is from RNAcentral.